GAGGAAGAGUGGUACUGGGAAGAGAGGAAGAGUGGUACUGGGAAGAGAAGAAGAGUGGUACUGGAAAGAGAGGAAGAGUGGUACUGGAAAGAGUGGUACUGGAAAGAGAAGAAGAGUGGUACUGGAAAGAGUGGUACUGGGAAGAGAAGAAGAGUGGUACUGGAAAGAGAGGAAGAGUGGUACUGGGAAGAGAAGAAGAGUGGUACUGGAAAGAGAGGAAGAGUGGUACUGGGAAGAGAGGAAGAAGUGGUACUGGGAAGAGAGGAAGAGUGGUACUGGGAAGAGAGGAAGAGUGGUACUGGGAAGAGAGGAAGAGUGGUACUGGAAAGAGAGGAAGAGUGGUACUGGAAAGAGAAGAAGAGUGGUACUGGGAAGAGAGGAAGAGUGGUACUGGGAAGAGAGGAAGAGUGGUACUGGGAAGAGUGGUACUGGAAAGAGAGGAAGAGUGGUACUGGAAAGAGUGGUACUGGAAAGAGAGAAGAAGUGGUACUGGGAAGAGAAGAAGAGUGGUACUGGAAAGAGUGGUACUGGGAAGAGAAGAAGAGUGGUACUGGGAAGAGAGGAAGAGUGGUACUGGAAAGAGUGGUACUGGGAAGAGAAGAAGAGUGGUACUGGAAAGAGAAGAAGAGUGGUACUGGAAAGAGAGGAAGAGUGGUACUGGAAAGAGAGGAAGAGUGGUACUGGGAAGAGAGGAAGAGUGGUACUGGGAAGAGAGGAAGAGUGGUACUGGGAAGAGAAGAAGAGUGGUACUGGGAAGAGAAGAAGAGUGGUACUGGGAAGAGAAGAAGAGUGGUACUGGGAAGAGAGGAAGAGUGGUACUGGAAAGAGAGGAAGAGUGGUACUGGGAAGAGAGGAAGAGUGGUACUGGAAAGAGAGGAAGAGUGGUACUGGAAAGAGGAAGAGUGGUACUGGAAAGAGAGGAAGAGUGGUACUGGAAAGAGAGGAAGAGUGGUACUGGGAAGAGAGGAAGAGUGGUACUGGGAAGAGUGGUACUGGGAAGAGAAGAAGAGUGGUACUGGAAAGAGAGGAAGAGUGGUACUGGGAAGAGAAGAAGAGUGGUACUGGAAAGAGAGGAAGAGUGGUACUGGGAAGAGAAGAAGAGUGGUACUGGGAAGAGAGGAAGAGUGGUACUGGAAAGAGAGGAAGAGUGGUACUGGGAAGAGAAGAAGAGUGGUACUGGAAAGAGAAGAAGAGUGGUACUGGAAAGAGAGGAAGAGUGGUACUGGGAAGAGAAGAAGAGUGGUACUGGAAAGAGUGGAAGAGUGGUACUGGAAAGAGAAGAAGAGUGGUACUGGAAAGAGAGGAAGAGUGGUACUGGAAAGAGAGGAAGAGUGGUACUGGAAAGAGAGGAAGAGUGGUACUGGAAAGAGAGGAAGAGUGGUACUGGGAAGAGAAGAAGAGUGGUACUGGGAAGAGAAGAAGAGUGGUACUGGAAAGAGAAGAAGAGUGGUACUGGAAAGAGAGGAAGAGUGGUACUGGGAAGAGAAGAAGAGUGGUACUGGGAAGAGUGGUACUGGGAAGAGAAGAAGAGUGGUACUGGAAAGAGUGGUACUGGGAAGAGAGGAAGAGUGGUACUGGAAAGAGAGGAAGAGUGGUACUGGGAAGAGAAGAAGAGUGGUACUGGGAAGAGUGGUACUGGGAAGAGAAGAAGAGUGGUACUGGAAAGAGAGGAAGAGUGGUACUGGAAAGAGAAGAAGAGUGGUACUGGAAAGAGUGGUACUGGGAAGAGAGGAAGAGUGGUACUGGAAAGAGAGGAAGAGUGGUACUGGAAAGAGAGGAAGAGUGGUACUGGGAAGAGAGGAAGAGUGGUACUGGAAAGAGAAGAAGAGUGGUACUGGGAAGAGAAGAAGAGUGGUACUGGAAAGAGUGGUACUGGGAAGAGAGGAAGAGUGGUACUGGGAAGAGAAGAAGAGUGGUACUGGGAAGAGAAGAAGAGUGGUACUGGGAAGAGAGGAAGAGUGGUACUGGGAAGAGAGGAAGAGUGGUACUGGGAAGAGAGGAAGAGUGGUACUGGGAAGAGUGGUACUGGGAAGAGAGGAAGAGUGGUACUGGGAAGAGAGGAAGAGUGGUACUGGAAAGAGAGGAAGAGUGGUACUGGGAAGAGUGGUACUGGGAAGAGAGGAAGAGUGGUACUGGAAAGAGAAGAAGAGUGGUACUGGGAAGAGAAGAAGAGUGGUACUGGAAAGAGAGGAAGAGUGGUACUGGAAAGAGAAGAAGAGUGGUACUGGAAAGAGAAGAAGAGUGGUACUGGAAAGAGAGGAAGAGUGGUACUGGAAAGAGAGGAAGAGUGGUACUGGAAAGAGAAGAAGAGUGGUACUGGAAAGAGAAGAAGAGUGGUACUGGAAAGAGAAGAAGAGUGGUACUGGAAAGAGAGAGAGUGGUACUGGGAAGAGAGGAAGA
Molecule: long non-coding RNA, 2400 nt
Organism: Oncorhynchus tshawytscha (Chinook salmon)
Lineage: Eukaryota; Metazoa; Chordata; Actinopteri; Salmoniformes; Salmonidae
Source: Ensembl